CCUACGGGUGGCUGCAGUGGGGAAUAUUGCGCAAUGGGCGAAAGCCUGACGCAGCGACGCCGCGUGAGGGAUGAAGGUCUUCGGAUCGUAAACCUCUGUCAGCAGGGAAGAACGGUCACUGUGCUAAUCAGCAGUGAAUUGACGGUACCUGCAAAGGAAGCACCGGCUAACUCCGUGCCAGCAGCCGCGGUAAUACGGAGGGUGCGAGCGUUAAUCGGAAUUACUGGGCGUAAAGCGCUCGUAGGCGGUAUGGCAAGUCAAGGGUGAAAUCCCCGCGCUCAACGUGGGAACUGCCUUUGAAACUGGCAAACUGGAGUGUGUGAGAGGAUAGUGGAAUUCCGGGUGUAGGGGUGAAAUGCGUAGAUAUCUGGAGGAACAUCAGUGGCGAAGGCGACUAUCUGGCACAUAACUGACGCUGAGGAGCGAAAGCGUGGGUAGCAAACAGGAUUAGAUACCCCAGUAGUC
RNAcentral lists this ribosomal RNA (465 nucleotides) under uncultured bacterium. Its description in RNAcentral is "partial 16S ribosomal RNA". It matches the Rfam family "Bacterial small subunit ribosomal RNA", at positions 338 to 795 of the family's 1533-position model. The record is from RNAcentral.